Long non-coding RNA from Durio zibethinus, 508 nucleotides. RefSeq lists it as uncharacterized. Lineage: Eukaryota; Viridiplantae; Streptophyta; Magnoliopsida; Malvales; Malvaceae. The record is from RefSeq and is a predicted model, not a curated record.
UGCUAUGUCUCGUUUCUUAUCCCUACCUCAUCUGCUUUCAUUUUCUCCAAUCAUUUUCUCUUUCUUGCCUCUGAUGAAAAGUCAAUAGUUCCAUGGUUCACAUCAAUUUCUAUGUCAACCGAACCCUUUGAUGGCGAUGUACAAAGUCAUUUGGCAUUCUCCUCGGUGGUGAUAUCUAGGAACCUUUUGGUGGCAAGGACUUGAGCAAGGACAAUGGCAACAGCAAAAGAUGAUCAGUGUGGGAGGGGGAGGAAAUUACCAAGGAUUUCUUGAUCAAACGGUUCAAGUUGAGCUUUCAGAUUUGCACGGUAGAUCGGAAAGUGGAUUUGGAGCAUUGGAUUGGCAAAUGAGUGGAGAUUAAGGGUUAUUUGAUCCCUAAUACUGUUGGUCAGAAAUAUUGGAGUCAGAGUCAUUGGAUUGAUCAAUAUUAUCCCAUUAAUUACAAAUUAUUUAUUGUCAAGAUCAGACAUAUUGGACUCAGAGUUUAUCUCUGUAAAUUAUAUCUCAU